Small nuclear RNA from Mirounga angustirostris (Northern elephant seal), 104 nucleotides. NCBI's taxonomy places the organism in Eukaryota, Metazoa, Chordata, Mammalia, Carnivora, Phocidae. The record is from RefSeq and is a predicted model, not a curated record.
GUGCUCGCUUAGGCAGCACACAUACUAAAACUGGAACAAUACAGAGAUUAGCAUGGCCCCUGUGCACGGAUGGCAUGCAAAUUCGUGAAGCAUUCCAUAUUUUA